RNAcentral lists this ribosomal RNA (515 nucleotides) under uncultured bacterium. RNAcentral's name for it is "partial 16S ribosomal RNA". It matches the Rfam family "Bacterial small subunit ribosomal RNA", at positions 28 to 523 of the family's 1533-position model. The record is from RNAcentral.
GAUGAACGCUGGCGGCGUGCCUAAUACAUGCAAGUCGAGCGAAUGGAUUAAGAGCUUGCUCUUAUGAAGUUAGCGGCGGACGGGUGAGUAACACGUGGGUAACCUGCCCAUAAGACUGGGAUAACUCCGGGAAACCGGGGCUAAUACCGGAUAACAUUUUGAACGGCAUGGUUCGAAAUUGAAAGGCGGCUUCGGCUGUCACUUAUGGAUGGACCCGCGUCGCAUUAGCUAGUUGGUGAGGUAACGGCUCACCAAGGCAACGAUGCGUAGCCGACCUGAGAGGGUGGUCGGCCACACUGGGACUGAGACACGGCCCAGACUCCUACGGGAGGCAGUAGUAGGGGAUCUUCCGCAAUGGACGAAAGUCUGACGGAUCAACGCCGCGUGAGUGAUGAAGGCUUUCGGGUCGUAAAACUCUGUUGUUAGGGAAGAACAAGUGCUAGUUGAAUAAGCUGGCACCUUGACGGUACCUAACCAGAAAGCCACGGCUAACUACGUGCCAGCAGCCGCAGUAA